Molecule: long non-coding RNA, 417 nt
Filed under: Athene cunicularia (burrowing owl)
Lineage: Eukaryota; Metazoa; Chordata; Aves; Strigiformes; Strigidae
Description: lncRNA (ENSACUG00000005795.1)
Source: RNAcentral
CAUUUUGAGUUUAAUUUUUAUAGGCCUUGACUUGUCAAGUGCCUAAGUGUAUGUUUAAUUUUCUAUAUCUUUAAUUUCAGCCACUUACUUUGGGUUUUAUUGAGGCAAAAAUUAAUAGGAUUUCUGGGAGUCUGGUCUUGGAGUGUCUGGGGAAUGAACUUGAAAAACAGAAAAAACCAACAUGCUUUCCAAGAUUGCAGUGAAACUGUGAAGCUCUGCCGCUAUCUUCUUCUCUACACUAAGCAAUCACUUCAGCUCUUGCACACUUUGAACUCAUCUUGCAUGCUUGACAUGGUUUGUUGCCUCUGGAUAUAUUGCAACAGCAGGCUGCAAUCUCAAUACAAAUUGCUUUCUGGGAGAGAAGGAGACUUGCCAGUUUCAGGAGAAAUGUACUUAAGAGUAUAUUCACACCACUGA